This 3744-nucleotide long non-coding RNA is filed under the name Capsella rubella. RNAcentral describes it as "long non-coding RNA (CRUB_LNC001755)". The record is from RNAcentral. Lineage: Eukaryota; Viridiplantae; Streptophyta; Magnoliopsida; Brassicales; Brassicaceae.
GGUAAGUGCUUUGAUAGAUGUUGAUAUUCUCAUUGAUGCCAUGGAGAUUUUGUAAGUGUAGCAAAACUUAUUAUCUUAGUUGUCUUAAUAGCAUAACUAUCCUGUCAAAUUCUAGAAACUUAUUGUAUCAUUGAUAAGAAAAAAUGUUGAUAUUACUUCUGUGAGGCAGAGAAGGAAGAGUGUAUUAAUCAUUGGUAACUGCAAUGUUAUAACUAGUGUGUUUUUGAAUUCAUCUGACUUUUACCAUUGUCAUUUUUUUUCUAGAUACACCAGAUAUCAUUUCCAAGAAUUGUAUAAUUUGUCAGUGGAAUUGAUUCUGAGAGGUCAUGCUUAUGUUGAUCUCAAGUUAAAUCAAUUUAAUCUUUCUGAUAGAAAUAGAUUCUUGUUUCUUUUUCCAGUUAAUUAUCAUUCUUUAGCUAUACUAGUGCAACUAACUCCACACAUGAAACUUAUUUAUGCUUUCAGAUGCCGAGGAUAUAAGAGAGUACAGAGAGAAGAAAAUGAACAGCCCUGGAGGGACUUGCCUAUUGAAGAAAUGAGAUAAGGAAAGAUAGGAGGGAAAGGCAAGGAUAAAGAAAGGUAUGCAGAGUGACAAUUUUAACAUGUAUGACCUUAUUGGCUAUUGAACAGAGAGGCAAGUGAUAAAAUCAUCUCUGGUUACAUAUAAGAAAUAGACUCUCUUAUCUUUUGGUGUCUGAAUCUUUUAUAUAUAUGCUUUGUAGUUCAACCCUCAUCCUAAGGCUGGUGACUGGUGCAUGCGGUAUGUCCUUUUGUAAGUGCAUGCGGUAUGUCCUUUUGGCUUUUGACCCGCUAUUUUACUUUCAGUAUUAGAAUAUCCCUUCUGUAUCUAAUAAAACUAUCUUUGUGGUUUUGAUCUUUCUUUUAUUUGCGUAAUUGUAGCUAUGUGCUCUUGAAACCUGGCGUGCUUUAUACUACUAACACUCUACGCGUGUAAGGUAAAAUACUCAACUAGCAUGUGACAACUUCGAGCAUUUUAUGCAAUAAUUCAUGUUGGUUGUGGUAUCAUUUUUCUUUUCUUUUGCUGAUUGACUUUGAAUGGGAAGAGGUGUGACUUUAACUGUGAAUAAUACUUUGUUUGGUUAUAUGUCAAUUAUCUUCAUUAUAUUUGCUCUCUAUUGUUGUAUGUUGAAGAGAUGGUAGUAUGAUACAUGUGAGUCGUCUUGAGCAUCAUAUUAGAUAGCAGUUGAAUAAAAUAGCUACUCACACCAUGAUGGUGUCUAAUCCUCACACCAUGAUGGUGUCUAAUCCUCACACCAUGAUGGUGUCUAAUCCCCUUAAGGUGCUCAUCACCAAUUUGGAAUCAAAGUAGACUAGUUUUGUACAAACGAUAGAACAUUUGUCUGUUUUAUUGGGCUGUUAUUCUGUUUUUCUAAGGUAUAGAAAGGAACACUAUUCAUCAUUAUUACUUUCUUUUAAUAUGAUUCAUUGUGCUUUCUACUUUCAGAUACGCUUUCCAGUUAAGUGUAGUAUGCGCUGAGGACGAGGUAUGCAUAUUGUUUUCUAGAUUUUGUUGUAGUUACAAAGAUUGUUCCAUAUAGCUAAAUUCCAUCUAAUAAUAACUGAACCCUGGCACCCUGCUGAACUAAAUGAUUAUUGACUCACUGUCAUAGUGACAUUAACUCGAACUCCAAAGUGGUAGUUUAUGGUGCUUUAGCUGUAUCAACCCUUAAAGAUGAUGUGAUGUGUUCUGGGACAGAUUCCAAUUCGAGAGACUAGGUAUAUUCAGUUUCAAGAUCAUAAAAAGUGUUUGCGUUUCUACAUGAGCAUAUUGUGUGUUUUGAUUAUUUUAUUCUCUAAGUUUGAAUGCUUGUGUAUCAUAAGGUCUUUUAUCCUAUAUGAUGUAUGCAUCUUAGAGUCUCUUAUAGAUAUUUAUUUUGACAUAUUUGUUACUUCUAUAGAUUAUGAUUGUUGUUUCCUUAAAUCUUGAAAGUAUUUGUUCUGUGUUAGGCUCUAAACUUCUGCUGAUUGUUUUAAACAUGUGAAUAUCAUCGUAGAAUUUUGUAUCAUGCAUUGAGAAAAGGUAGAUUUUUCUUUGACUAUGAAACAUUACAUUGUGUGUUCAAAAUACUUACUUUGACUAUGAAACAUUACAUUGUGUGUUUAAAAUACUUAUUGUCUCUGUUUGAAUGUAAUGAUAAAUAUAAUUAUUUUCUGAAAUAGAUGCAUCUUUGAGGUUUCAUGUAGACACAUAUUUUUAGAUGUAUGUGCUACUGCACAUUAUGGUAAUGGUAUUAUUGAAUCUCGAAUUCAUUUGUUUUGUGUUAUGCUGUGUUAUGCUCUAAACCCUUGGUGUUAGUUCUAAGCAUGUGAAACCACAUUUUGGAAUUAUAUAUGCAAUGUCAACUAAUGAUAACUGUGGUAGAUUCUAUAAAUUGUAACCUUGGUUUGAGUCUUUACUAUUCAUUCAAUAAUUUGUAUUGUUGUUUGUUUGUGUGAAGUGGACAAUUUGAAUUUCAAUGUUAGUUUUGUUGAAAAACAGUAUUUUCUGUAUUUAGUUUUAGCCUUGUGUUAGUUUUUAAAGUCUGUAUUUUCCAUGUACACAUUUCUUGCAUUUUAGUUGGUAGUCUGGUAAUUUUUCGUUCAUUAUUCAUAAUCGACUUUUGUAUCUUACGUCUUGGAAUAGUUAGCAACUUAGCAUGGUAAACUGAUUCAAUUUGAACGUAUGUCCAUCUUAAAUUAAGGCCAGGGUACUAUAUAUGUACUAAUGUCUAUGAUUGAUUAUGAGUAUGCAUGGAGGAUGUAGAUAUGACUUGAAAUAUUUUAAUCUCUCGUUGUUCUCUUCCCAAAGUUUCUCUCCAAGAAGAUGAUUCUCAUUUCUCACCCCAAAAUGAGUCCAAUAUAAUUACUAAGAAGUCUUCUUAAGAAAUAUACCGUUUGAUUGUAGAUUAUGACUGUAGUUUCCUAGAAUCUUGUAAGUAUUCGAUUUGCAUUAUGCUUUAUCUUUGGUGAUUGUUUUGCUGUUUCUAAGUAUAAUAAAUUCUUUCAUGCUAUAAAAUAGAUGCAUCUCGGCAUCUCCUGUAGAUAUGUAUGCUGAACGUAUAUGAUAUUUCUGCACAUUAUGAUAAUAGUAUUAUUGAAUCUCAGCAGUUGUGAGUGUCACUUCACAAGCAAAUGCUCCAAUGUUUACUACUCGUGCAAACACUGUCGUGACUUCUUUCACCUCAAAUGCAUAAUGUCUACGGUAAACAUUUUUAUCAGUCAUAUUGUCUUGUUCCGUUUUAUUUUCAACUUUCAAUGUUUAUGUUGCUUUUGUGUGUGUCAUAAAGGAUGACCGUGAAGCUGCAACAGAAGAGGAUCAAUUAAGAGACAUCUAUCUUAUGUACCUAGAACUAAAUCUCGUGGAGGUGUUGAAAAGUAAGUCUUAGUUUGGUAACGCAACUUUCGUUAUUCUAGUCUUAUAUAUGCAUUAUUAUCAACUUCUUUUCAUUUUAUUCUUAUGUUUGUUUCAACAGAUGAUGACCGAAGACGGUAUUGGUGAACUAAGGAAGGUAAAACUCACAUUCAAAUCUUGGUACACUUUUGAGAAUCCAAAUGUAGACUACACUAAACAAGAGAGCCAAUAUCGUAGGAGCCAUCAAAUCGAGUCUCAUCCAUGUAAUAAUACGGCGUGAAAGCUGAAGACAACAUAGACGAUCUUACGAUGACUUCUCCCAUCGUCUUAGACAAUCUCUUUUUGAUUGAAUGGACCAUACAAUCCAUGUAGUAAAUGAUUGCUUCUCGAUG